GACGAACGCUGGCGGCGCGCCUAACACAUGCAAGUCGAACGAGCGAGAGAGAGCUUGCUUUCUCGAGCGAGUGGCGAACGGGUGAGUAACGCGUGAGGAACCUGCCUCAAAGAGGGGGACAACAGUUGGAAACGACUGCUAAUACCGCAUAAGCCCACGACCCGGCCUCGGGUAGAGGGAAAAGGAGCAAUCCGCUUUGAGAUGGCCUCGCGUCCGAUUAGCUAGUUGGUGAGGUAACGGCCCACCAAGGCGACGAUCGGUAGCCGGACUGAGAGGUUGAACGGACACAUUGGGACUGAGACACGGCCCAGACUCCUACGGGAGGCAGCAGUGGGGAAUAUUGCACAAUGGGGGAAACCAUGAUGCAGCGACGCCGCGUGGAGGAAGAAGGUCUUCGGAUUGUAAACUCCUGUUGUUGAGGAAGAUAAUGACGGUACUCAACAAGGAAGUGACGGCUAACUACGUG
RNAcentral lists this ribosomal RNA (466 nucleotides) under uncultured bacterium. RNAcentral's name for it is "partial 16S ribosomal RNA". It matches the Rfam family "Bacterial small subunit ribosomal RNA", at positions 28 to 507 of the family's 1533-position model. The record is from RNAcentral.